UAUAUAUAUAUAUAUAUAUAUACAUAAUAUAUAUAUUGAUUAAAAAUGCGUGAAUAGAACAUCGAUUGUAGAGAAACUCGCAAAUGCGUGGAAGCCGGCAAAUACCGAGAAAGACGAUCGUUGUCAAAGAGAAUUCGAUUAACUCGGCUGCGACUGGAAUAAGAAAAGGAAAAAAGAAAAAAGAAAAAAAAAAAAAAAAAAGAAAGAAACCCGACAUCGAUACGGGACGAGUUAACAGGUUGCCGUAUAUCAUUCUGUUUUCCUAACGAAUCAUACUUUCCAUGAUUUAUGGAUGAAGGAAACGUUCUGUAUCACGCAAAGUCAAACGAGCGCGUUAAAUAAUUCAACAACGUUCCAUGUAUGCUACAUUCUUAACGAGUGUAUGAAGAAACAUAAUGGUGCUCGAUAGAAAUGAGCAAAUAUAUAUAUAUAUAUAUGUAUCUGCUCUUCUGGUAAAACAUCGUUUCGUCGAAACGAUUCG
Molecule: long non-coding RNA, 481 nt
Organism: Apis dorsata (giant honeybee)
Lineage: Eukaryota; Metazoa; Arthropoda; Insecta; Hymenoptera; Apidae
Exons: 2
Source: RefSeq, a predicted model, not a curated record